Molecule: long non-coding RNA, 458 nt
Filed under: Setaria viridis
Lineage: Eukaryota; Viridiplantae; Streptophyta; Magnoliopsida; Poales; Poaceae
Description: long non-coding RNA (SVIR_LNC000110)
Source: RNAcentral
UGCUGGAAUUGGAUCAGCCUGACCCGACGAUGAUGUUGUUGAUGGGGAUGAAGAUGAGCUUGACGAAGAAGCCGACGAAGCCCAUGACGACGAAGCCGAUCGCCGUCCGCGCCGCCACCUUGGUGAACUCUGCGCGCAUCAAAAGCCAAGCACGUCAGAUCCGGCGAAAAAAAAAUUUCGCAGCCAGCGCAUACGAGGAUCCGGGAUCUGGGGGUUUGGCGGUUACCCUUGCGGUCUGGCUUGUGGCAGCGCUUGACGAGGCGGAUGCUGUCCUUGGCGAACUCCCUGAGCGGGUCGACCACCGAGUCCACGGCGUCCAUGGCGGUGCGGGGCGGAGGAGAUCUCGCGGCCUGUUGGCUUGCUUGGAGUCUGGCUGGAGACGACGACGAAGACGCGGAAAUGGCUUUGCGCGUGAUUUGCCUUGACGUGGUGGUGCGUUGUCUUAUGGUUGAUUGGAU